This 449-nucleotide ribosomal RNA is filed under the name uncultured bacterium. Its description in RNAcentral is "partial 16S ribosomal RNA". It matches the Rfam family "Bacterial small subunit ribosomal RNA", at positions 29 to 523 of the family's 1533-position model. The record is from RNAcentral.
AACGAACGCUGGCGGCAUGCCUAACACAUGCAAGUCGAACGAGAUCUUCGGGUCUAGUGGCGCACGGGUGCGUAACGCGUGGGAAUCUGCCCUUUGGUUCGGAAUAACAGUUGGAAACGACUGCUAAUACCGGAUGAUGACUAAAGUCCUAAGAUUUAACGCCAGAGGAUGAGCGCGCGUAGGAUUAGCUAGUUGGUGUGGUAAAGGGGCACCAAGGCGACGAUCCUUAGCUGGUCUGAGAGGAUGAUCAGCCACACUGGGACUGAGACACGGCCCAGAGUCCUACGUGAGGCAGCAGUGGGGAAUAUUGGACAAUGGGCGAAAGCCUGAUCCAGCAAUGCCGCGUGAGGGAUGAAGGCCUUAGGGUUGUAAAGCUCUUUUACCUGGGAUGAUAAUGACAGUACCGGGAGAAUAAGCUCCGGCUAACUCCGUGCCAGCCGCCGCGGUAA